This 370-nucleotide ribosomal RNA is filed under the name uncultured bacterium. RNAcentral describes it as "bacterial SSU rRNA". It matches the Rfam family "Bacterial small subunit ribosomal RNA", at positions 30 to 400 of the family's 1533-position model. The record is from RNAcentral.
AUUGAACGCUGGCGGCAUGCCUUACACAUGCAAGUCGAACGGCAGCACGGGAGCAAUCCUGGUGGCGAGUGGCGAACGGGUGAGUAAUAUAUCGGAACGUGCCCAGUCGUGGGGGAUAACGUAGCGAAAGCUACGCUAAUACCGCAUACGAUCUAUGGAUGAAAGCGGGGGAUCGCAAGACCUCGCGCGAUUGGAGCGGCCGAUAUCAGAUUAGGUAGUUGGUGGGGUAAAAGCCUACCAAGCCUUCGAUCUGUAGCUGGUCUGAGAGGACGACCAGCCACACUGGAACUGAGACACGGUCCAGACUCCUACGGGAGGCAGCAGUGGGGAAUUUUGGACAAUGGGCGCAAGCCUGAUCCAGCCACGCCGC